AUACGGGAGGCAGCAGUGGGGAAUUUUGCACAAUGGGGGAAACCCUGAUGCAGCAACGCCGCGUGGAGGAUGAAGCCCUUUGGGGCGUAAACUCCUUUCGAUCGGGACGAUUAUGACGGUACCGGAUGAAGAAGCACCGGCUAACUCUGUGCCAGCAGCCGCGGUAAUACAGAGGGUGCAAGCGUUGUUCGGAAUUAUUGGGCGUAAAGGGUGCGUAGGCGGUGCGGUAAGUCUUUUGUGAAAUCUCCGGGCUCAACUCGGAGUCUGCAAGGGAAACUGCCGUGCUGGAGUAUGGGAGAGGUGAGUGGAAUUCCUGGUGUAGCGGUGAAAUGCGUAGAUAUCAGGAGGAACACCUGUGGCGAAAGCGGCUCACUGGACCAUUACUGACGCUGAUGCACGAAAGCUAGGGGAGCAAACAGGAUUAGAUACCCGCGUAGUCCC
This 441-nucleotide ribosomal RNA is filed under the name uncultured bacterium. RNAcentral describes it as "bacterial SSU rRNA". It matches the Rfam family "Bacterial small subunit ribosomal RNA", at positions 339 to 797 of the family's 1533-position model. The record is from RNAcentral.